AGUGAACGCUGGCGGUAGGCCUAACACAUGCAAGUCGAACGGCAGCACAGUAAGAGCUUGCUCUUACGGGUGGCGAGUGGCGGACGGGUGAGGAAUACAUCGGAAUCUACUUUUUCGUGGGGGAUAACGUAGGGAAACUUACGCUAAUACCGCAUACGACCUUCGGUUGAAAGCAGGGGAUCUUCGGACCUUGCGCGAUUGAAUGAGCCGAUGUCGGAUUAGCUAGUUGGCGGGGUAAAGGCCCACCAAGGCGACGAUUCGUAGCUGGUCUGAGAGGAUGAUCAGCCACACUGGAACUGAGACACGGUCCAGACUCCUACGGGAGGCAGCAGUGGGGAAUAUUGGACAAUGGGCGCAAGCCUGAUCAAGCCAGACCGCGUGGGUGAAGAAGGCCUUCGGGUUGUAAAGCCCUUUUGUUGGGAAAGAAAAGCAGCAGGUUAAUACCCCGCUGUUCUGACGGUACCCAAAGAAUAAGCACCGGCUAACUUCGUG
Molecule: ribosomal RNA, 492 nt
Filed under: uncultured bacterium
Lineage: Bacteria
Description: partial 16S ribosomal RNA
Rfam family: Bacterial small subunit ribosomal RNA
Source: RNAcentral